This 73-nucleotide transfer RNA is filed under the name Priacanthus arenatus (Atlantic bigeye). RNAcentral describes it as "tRNA-Trp". It matches the Rfam family "tRNA". From Rfam's summary of the family: Transfer RNA (tRNA) molecules are approximately 80 nucleotides in length. The record is from RNAcentral. Lineage: Eukaryota; Metazoa; Chordata; Actinopteri; Priacanthiformes; Priacanthidae.
AGAGCCUUAGGUUAACGUUAGAGACCUGGGGCCUUCAAAGCCCCCAGCGGAGGUGAGAGCCCUCUAGACUCUG